Long non-coding RNA from Poecilia reticulata (guppy), 596 nucleotides. RefSeq lists it as uncharacterized. The record is from RefSeq and is a predicted model, not a curated record. Lineage: Eukaryota; Metazoa; Chordata; Actinopteri; Cyprinodontiformes; Poeciliidae.
CUCUCCAACGUUACAUCAUCAAUAUCGCCGCCAUCCUCCCCUCCAAGGUCGUCUUCACCAAGUCUUCCCUCAACGUCCAGAUCGGCUGCUGCGGCUUCCACUUCAUCCAGCUCAACACACCAACAUGUGUUUCUUUAAUCAGUUCAUCUGAUUCGGGAUGCGGAACAAUAAGCACCUUAAACUCUAGCUUCCUCUUACUUAUUUAAAUGUUUAUGAGUUAGCAGACGUCACUAGCUGUAGCUUGCUAGCUAGUUUUCUCUCUAUGUUUCUGAAAAGUGGUCGUAUCUUUCCGCCUCCGGUCAACCGGGUGCCGACAAAACGGUCAGGAACUAUUUCUCCUGUUUCGUACAUAUCGGUGGCCAUGAGCCUUGCGCUAAGCUCCAAGUUAUUUAUUUUAUUUUGGGAAGACGUCAGUGGCUGUUCAGUUCAUUUUCUGUGUGUGGAGGAUUGGCGAGCUGACACAGAGCUCCAUGUAACCAGUGUGUCAUGGUGGUGAUUGAAGCCUGUUAUGAAGACUUCAACACAUUUCUUCAGACGGGUGGACAGAGUAAUUUGAAUUACUAUGGUGACACACACAGGCUGGAAGUCUUCCUCCU